This 340-nucleotide unclassified non-coding RNA is filed under the name soil metagenome. RNAcentral's name for it is "partial contains 5.8S ribosomal RNA, internal transcribed spacer 2, and large subunit ribosomal RNA". The stretch from base 1 to 120 matches the Rfam family "5.8S ribosomal RNA", at positions 35 to 154 of the family's 154-position model. The record is from RNAcentral.
GAUGAAGAACGUAGCGAAAUGCGAUACGUAAUGUGAAUUGCAGAAUUCAGUGAAUCAUCGAGUCUUUGAACGCACAUUGCGCCCGUCAGUAUUCUGACGGGCAUGCCUGUCCGAGCGUCAUUUCAACCCUCAAGCACUGCUUGGCGUUGGCGGAUUGCGUGCCCUCGCGGCGCUGCAACCGCCCAAAUACAGUGGCGGUCCCGCUGCGGCUCCCUUUGCGUAGUAACUCACCUCGCACUGGACCGGGCGGCGGCCUGCCGUAAAACCCCAACUCACGAAAUGUUGACCUCGGAUCAGGUAGGAAUACCCGCUGAACUUAAGCAUAUCAAUAAGCGGAGGA